Carlito syrichta (Philippine tarsier) is the source of this 1834-nucleotide RNA transcript. It is a transcript of the gene named S-adenosylmethionine synthase pseudogene, with no coding region annotated. The record is from RefSeq and is a predicted model, not a curated record. NCBI's taxonomy places the organism in Eukaryota, Metazoa, Chordata, Mammalia, Primates, Tarsiidae. The transcript is spliced from 4 exons.
AUGCACGGCCAGCUCAACGGCUUCCACGAGGCGUUCAUCGAGGCGGGCACCUUCCUCUUCACCUCCAAGUUCAUGGAGGAAGGCCACCCAAAUAAGAUCUGUGACCAGAUCAGCGAUCUGUCCUUGAUGCCCACCUUCAGCAGGAUCCUGAUGCCAAAUGGCUUGCGAAACUGUUGCUAAGACCGGAAUGAUCCUUCUUGCUGGAGAAAUUACAUCCAGAGCUGCUGUUGACUACCAGAAAGUGGUUCGUGAAGCCAUUCAACACAUUGGAUAUGAUGAUUCAUCCAAAGGGUUUGACUACAAGACUUGUAAUGUGUUGGUGGCCCUGGAGCAGCAGUCACCAGAUAUUGCCCAAGGUGUUCAUCUUGACCAGAAUGAAGAAGACAUUGGCGCUGGAGACCAGGGCUUGAUGUUUGGCUAUACCACUGAUGAAACUGAGGAAUGUAUGCCUUUAACCAUUGUCUUGGCACACAUGCUCAAUGUCAAACUGGCAGAACUGCGCCGCAAUGGCACUUUGCCUUGGUUACGCCCUGAUUCGAAAACUCAAGUGACCGUGCAGUAUAUGCAGGAUCGAGGUGCUGUGCUUCCUAUUAGAGUCCACACAAUUGUUAUAUCUGUUCAGCAUGAUGAAGAAGUUUGUCUCGAUGAGAUGAGGGAUGCCCUAAAGGAAAGGGUCAUCAAAGCUGUGGUGCCUGCAAAAUAUCUCGAUGAGGACACAAUCUACCAUCUGUAGCCUAGUGGCAGAUUUAUUAUUGGUGGGCCUCAGGGUGAUGCUGGUUUGGCCAGAAAAUCACUGUGGACACUUAUGGCGGCUGGGGAGCUCAUAGAGGAGGUGCCUUUUCGGAAAAGGAUUAUACCAAGGUGGACCUUUUCGCUGCUUAUGCUGCUCGUUGGGUGGCAAAGUCCCUUGUUAAAGAGGUCUGUGCAGGAGGGUUCUUGUUCAGGUCUCUUAUGCUAUUGGAGUUUCUCAUCCAUUGUCUAUCUCCAUUUUCCAUUAUGGUACAGAAGAGUGAGAGAGAGCUAUUAUGAAGAAGAAUUUUGAUCUCCACCCUGGGGUCAUUGUCAGGGAUCUGGAUCUGAAGAAGCCAAUUUAUCAGAGGACUGCAACCUAUGGCCACUUUGGUAGGGACAGCUUCCCAUGGGAAUUGCCCCAAAAGCUUAAAUAUUGAAAGUGUUAGCCUUUUUCCCUCAGACUUGUUGGCGUAGGCUACAGAGAAGCCUUUAAGCUCUGAGGGAAGGGGCCCUUCUUGUUAAAUUUUCCUGUUCUCUUUCAGCUCCUGAUCAGUUGCAGUCACUCUAGUCAAUGACAUGAAUUUUAGCUUUCGUGAGGGACAGUAAGUUGGGCUUGCUAUUCUGUCCCUAGGUGUUUUGUUCACCAUUAUGAUGAAUUUAGUGAGCAUAGGUGAUCCAUGUAACUGCCUAGAAACAAACAACACUGUAGUAAGUGAUGCUUUGAGAUUGAACCUUUGUGCCCUAUCACCCAAUACACCAAAGUCCUAAUUACAUUGACUUUCCCACCAAUGCUGAAAAAAUGUCCUUGUAACGUGCAUGUAAAGUACUUGUAGUUCCACUAUAGCCUGCCUGGCAAUGCCACAGCCCUGUCAGCAUGAGUUUGUAAUGUCUUGAGCUCUAUUAUGAAUGUGAAGCCCUCCCCUUAUGCUCCCUGUAACUUGACCCCAUUUCUAAUUAUGUAGCUUUGUCAGGGAGUGUUCCCUAUCCAAUCAGUCUUGCAUGUAGCACAAGUUUCCAGUUGGAGCUCUAGCCUGACAUCAAAAAAAGGCAGUUACCAUCAAACCACCUCCCUGCGCUAUGAUCUGAAUGCACUUAAAGCCAA